This is a long non-coding RNA of Phacochoerus africanus (Common warthog), 2680 nucleotides long. RefSeq lists it as uncharacterized. The transcript has 2 exons. The record is from RefSeq and is a predicted model, not a curated record. NCBI's taxonomy places the organism in Eukaryota, Metazoa, Chordata, Mammalia, Artiodactyla, Suidae.
GCACUCGCAGGGAGGAUCGUCACCCUACGGAGCUACGGCCGCCGCGGCGCUCCAGCAGACCCUCAGGCGGUUGGCACAGGGAGGGGACCGGCAUGGGGGCCCAGAGUACAACUGGGGGGGUCCCUGGGACCGGCUCCCCCUGCUGUCUCCAGGUCCGGGGCCGUCGGGGCGAUGGCGCAAGAGUCUGCGUUCCCCCCCCCCCACAGCGACAACAGCCACGGUGACAAAAUGGCAGCCCGGCGCCCAGCAGUCGUGCCACAGGCGACCAGGACCCUGGCGGCCGUCCCUGCCCCCCCCCCCAUAACGCCUCGGCGCCCUUCGGGUUCGGCCUCCGGCGGCUUCGGCCGUUAAAAAAACAACAAUAAUAAAUAAAACACCUUGAGCUCAAAACCAGCUCGGAAAGCCAAAAGGCCCGCCCGGGGGCCAGCCCGGCGCGGCCGCGACCCGACCUGCGCGCACAGGGCCAGGCCACCCGGUCGCCUGCCAACCGGCCCGCACCCCGCGCCACAUGGAGCCUGGCGCCCGCAUUCGGAGCCCCGCGCUCGGCGCCGGCCGCGCCAUGGGGGAGGGGCGGGGCGGGCCGCGCGAGACCCGGGAAACAUGGCUGCUCGUCCUAUUUCGGCGUCGCGGCGUGGCCACCGGCCCUCGGAUCAGAGUUGGGAGAGGCUCUGAAGAGGCUCCCGCGCCGGCGGAAUUCAAUCAAUAAACCCCGAACCCACGGCCGCGCGUUUUAGGACUUUGAAGGCUCAACCAGCUCCGCUCGGUUCUCGAGCCCCCAGCACCCGCGGCGCACACUAACCUGAUCACCGUGGAGGCGGGAUCGGCGGCUCCGCGGACGAGUGGCAGCGGCCUUAGCCAAUCGCUGCCGAGGGUCUCCGGGCAACAACGAAUGGUGGCGGAGGCGGGGGGGAAGGGACCAAUGGGCGGGCUGCGCAGCCGGCCAGGGAGGCUCAGCCAUUUGGUUGUGGUACCGGAGACGGACCCCUUUAGAUUUCGGGGCGGCUGAGGAGCGCGGCGGCAGCUCGGUUGCUGAGCUAGGGGGGUGGGCGGAAUGGCGGGGGAAGGGAAGGUGACUGUGCCUGGAGGGCAAAGCCGCCCGGCCUCACCAGCCCCGCAGCCGCCUCAGCGUUUGGCCGGGGGCGGGGCCGCAGGUGCGUUAUAUGAAAGGGAGGGGCGCGGCCGGAGGGGCCGGGGGUUGGGGUUCUCGCCGGACGGAGGGCUUCGCGGGGUCGUCUUGGGCCUACCCUCGCCCCUCCACUGGGUUGUGGAAAGAGGCAGGCAGUGCGAGGCCUGGGGGCAGCGGACUGCCCCGCGGGCGGGCGGAUGAAAGGCCUGGAAAGAGGGGGAGGGGUCAAGGGUGCAGUGGGGGGAGGGGUGGUCUUUUUCUGGGUCCUUUGGGCCGAGCUAGUGGAGGGUGGCUGCUGCCCCCAUCUCCUUUGCGGGUUCCAACCCCUGGGCUGCAGCCCACAGCCCGCGCGCCCCUUCGCCUCCCGCCUCGUCGUAGUCCAGCCAUGGCCAUCGUAGUCCCUCGCAUACUUCAGUAAAUAAAAAGCAAGGUGCGUCCACUUUUGGGUGACUUAACCUCUCGGUCUCGACCCUUUCCAUGGAGGGGCAUUUCAGUUUGCUGUUUUACUAGCUUGGAAGGAAUGAUCACCAAAAGGCACACAGGAUCUUAGUCAAUAAGUGAAUGAAGAGCAGGGACUAAGAAUUGAUACUGAAUAUAUUGAAUAUUUUAAAUAAAUGAAAAGGAAGGUGCUUGUAACUCCUGGUUUUCUGGACCAAAAAUAAUUUAUGGGCUUUAUUGACCUGGUGAAAUAAAACGGCGCACAGUUUAUUUUAAUCGUCCACCUGAGUCAUUUGGUUCAAUUUGGGUUGCCAAAGAAGCUCUGUUUGGAGCACUUUCUCCAAGUUGUACGGUUUGCUUGCUUUGGAUUUUUUUGAAUCACAUUGGUUGUAAGAGACCUUAAAGCCUUAAUUCCCACUUGAUUACCAACUUCCGUGCUAGGGCCUUGUUGUGUACUAAGUUGGCUGCCUGUGUCUGUUAAUAAAUCAUGGGGAUUGUUGUCAACAAGGACAGAUACAUCUCCACACAACUGUUUUUCCAUUCUUUUAUUUCUACACAGCUACGCUCUUCCUCCUCAUACACUCCGAGGUAGUUCUUUUGGAUACAUUGUGUUUAUUUUUCAUGGAUGUAGGUUCAAGUGAGAUACACCAAUAUGUAUGUUGCAAAUUUGAGAUAUUGUUACGUAACACCAAUACAGUUUCAUUCUUGAGCAUAUAAAAUUUAGGAAGAAAUAAAAAGUGGCAGAAUGUAAAUAAAAGUCACAUAUGGAAUGCUUACACUGAGGGAAGAAACAGUGGUAACUAAUAUUGUAACCUGAUGGAUUGCAAAUGUGAGAUCCUGAAGCUAAGCAUUUUACUCAGUAAAUUCUUCUUUCAGAAAAAAUAUUAAGUAGGAUUUGAAAAGUGAUCAUGUUUACUCUUAAGUAGCUGGGAAAUGCAAGAUAAAAAUGGGAAGUCAUUGUUUUAUUUCAUGUGGGUAUGUAUAGUAUAUACUUGACUUAUUGACGUAUCAGUCUUCCUCAGUUUUGUUAAUCUUAUUAAAGUCCAUUUGUGUAGUUGGAAUUUAUUCUUUUUAAAAUUGUAUUGACUUCGUUAUUAAACAUAUUGGGACCCCGAA